This 459-nucleotide ribosomal RNA is filed under the name uncultured bacterium. RNAcentral describes it as "partial 16S ribosomal RNA". It matches the Rfam family "Bacterial small subunit ribosomal RNA", at positions 338 to 795 of the family's 1533-position model. The record is from RNAcentral.
CCUACGGGAGGCAGCAGUGAGGAAUAUUGGUCAAUGGGCUCGCGCCUGAACCAGCCAAGUCGCGUGAGGGAAGACGGUCCUAUGGAUUGUAAACCUCUUUUGUCGGGGAGCAAAAGACGCCACGCGUGGCGGUCCUAGAGUACCCGAAGGAAAAGCAUCGGCUAACUCCGUGCCAGCAGCCGCGGUAAUACGGAGGAUGCGAGCGUUAUCCGGAUUUAUUGGGGUUAAAGGGUGCGCAGGCGGAAGGUCAAGUCAGCGGUAAAAUUGCGAGGCUCAACCUCGCCGAGCCGUUGAAACUGGGUUUCUUGAGUGAGCGAGAAGUAUGCGGAAUGCGUGGUGUAGCGGUGAAAUGCAUAGAUAUCACGCAGAACUCCGAUUGCGAAGGCAGCAUACCGGCGCUCAACUGACGCUCAUGCACGAAAGUGUGGGUAUCGAACAGGAUUAGAUACCCUUGUAGUC